UUUCAGUCAUGCCAUUGUGAUUACAGGAAGAGAGAGAGGCACUGAAUGACCCUAUCCCCAGUUCAAAUUUAGUCGUUACAACCCUUGAAGAAUGAAGAUGCAGGCAGAAUAGUUGAGGAAGAAAGAAAAGAUGAGACACCUAUGCCUUCUGUUCCCGCCACAGCGGAUCCACCAGGAUGAGUGAUUCGCACGAGAAACGGAGCAAGCUAGACGACUCCCAACCGUCGCACAACCUGAGUAAAGCACUAUGCAUCCAGAUAGAGGUGUACAGGGACGGUGAGAUCUCUUUUGGGGACUCAAUGGAUGGCACCAUCGGCCUGUUGUUGGAAGCGGAGGCGCAGGGGCUCGGGGCGCGGGUCCGUGCUAUAACGGUGCUACUAUUUAGCAGUCGAUCAUUCACAUACACUGCAGCACGUUAAUGAAAUGUCGUUUUCAACCCACGCUUAUUAUGCAAGAAACACAAUCGCAACGACAAAACCUAAAAAAAUAAAGCAAUACGAAAAGUUGCAGACAACUCGAAGGAUUAUCGUUAAAGUAUAUUAAUGUAAUAAUAUUUGCAUCAUGAGAAAUUAUUAAUGCCCUCCUCCGCUUCUAACUUUUUUUUGUGCAGAGGUCGAAGUCUAUUCCGACGUUAACAUUCUUCAUUCUGACAGCGAGGAGAGCGACGGAGAGAGAGAUCAUGAGUAUGAGGAACUCUUUGAAUCGCCCCAGCGCCCAUGGCGCACGACCUGCCUCUAUUCAUCUAGCGUUGAGAGUUCACUUAUUACUUCACACGACCGGUGUAAACACCGGUGUAAUUUUAAAAGUUAAAAAAAAAAUUAAAAGAAUAAAAUAAAGAGAUAAAUUACACGAUAUACGAUUUUCUCGGCCAGGGAGGUCUCCCCGCAAGAAAUUGUUCACCACCCGCCCGCGUCGGGAGCGCCGCAGCGUGCUGCAGCUGCCAGCACGAAAAGCGCACUGACGCAAACAAACCUAAGUGGCUACUUCACGCAUUGCGCAAUGCUUGAGGUAUCCCAUUACGUUUGUAGGCGUCAGUGUGCAUUUUGAGCUGGCAGCGGCAGCACGCCGCACAUUGGGACGAGCCCAUUAUAGAAACGGGACAUCUACGGUAAAAAUGAAAAUCAUUAAAAGCAAAAACGGAAGGUACAGAAGUUACCUGGAGGGUCUAAACUUCCAGAAUAACGAAGGUUUUAACAAUUUAAUUGAAGAAUAUCCAAAUGACAGGCCUAGAGAAACGCGCGUUUCGGGAAGAUGAAAAAAAAGAGGUGAAAGCGCACGUAUACGAAUGUUGCUCCCCUGACUUUCUAGAUCUAAAGUCGAAUUUCCUUCAUGAUAAAUGAAUUCUUUACGGUGUGAAUUACCCCGACAAGAUAUGCAUGUCUAUAAAUAUUUAUGUAUUUUUCUAUUUAUAUUCAUAUUUAUAUAUUAGUUUUGUAAUAAUUAAACAUGUUGUAUUUGAAA
This is a non-coding RNA of Bemisia tabaci, 1461 nucleotides long. The record is from RefSeq and is a predicted model, not a curated record. Lineage: Eukaryota; Metazoa; Arthropoda; Insecta; Hemiptera; Aleyrodidae.